GCCUGGCUGGCUCAGUCGGCAGAGCACAUGACUCUGGAUCUCGGGGUUGUGAGUUCGAGCCCCGCGUUGGGUG
RNAcentral lists this transfer RNA (73 nucleotides) under Felis catus (domestic cat). It matches the Rfam family "tRNA". Rfam says of the family: Transfer RNA (tRNA) molecules are approximately 80 nucleotides in length. Lineage: Eukaryota; Metazoa; Chordata; Mammalia; Carnivora; Felidae. The record is from Rfam by way of RNAcentral.